Molecule: transfer RNA, 72 nt
Filed under: Runella sp.
Lineage: Bacteria; Pseudomonadati; Bacteroidota; Cytophagia; Cytophagales; Spirosomataceae
Description: tRNA-Gly
Rfam family: tRNA
About the family: Transfer RNA (tRNA) molecules are approximately 80 nucleotides in length. Their secondary structure includes four short double-helical elements and three loops (D, anti-codon, and T loops).
Source: RNAcentral
GCGGGAGUAGCUCAUUUGGUNNGUAGCCUUCCAAGCUUCAGGUGGCGGGUUCGAGCCCCGUCUCCCGCUCAA